RNAcentral lists this small RNA (447 nucleotides) under Ascaris lumbricoides (common roundworm). RNAcentral describes it as "eukaryotic LSU rRNA". The stretch from base 1 to 128 matches the Rfam family "5.8S ribosomal RNA", at positions 27 to 154 of the family's 154-position model. The record is from RNAcentral. Lineage: Eukaryota; Metazoa; Nematoda; Chromadorea; Rhabditida; Ascarididae.
CGAGUAUCGAUGAAGAACGCAGCUAGCUGCGAUAAAUAGUGCGAAUUGCAGACACAUUGAGCACUAAAAAUUCGAACGCACAUUGCGCCAUCGGGUUCAUUCCCGUUGGCACGUCUGGCUGAGGGUUGAAUUAUUGAAAGAGUUGCCAUUUAUGAAUUUUCAACAUUCAUAGAGAAUGGCACGUAUAUUCGAUAAGCUAUGAUAGUGGACAAAUGAGAAGUACUAUCGUACCUUAUUUAGCUAAUCUAUGAUUCAAUAUCUCGUUGUAAUUUGCUUAAACGAGAUGAGAGAGAGAAUAUAUACAUCAAAACGCUCUUAAAAGACGAUUCCAGCGUAUAUUGUGUGAAUGGCAUAGUUGGAAAGAAAGAUGAGCGUGACAAUAAUGAUGUAUAUGAAAAAUUUUUUGACCUCAGCUCAGUCGUGAAUACCCGCUGAACUUAAGCAUAU